UGGGGAAUAUUGGACAAUGGGGGGAACCCUGAUCCAGCCAUGCCGCGUGUGUGAAGAAGGCCUUAUGGUUGUAAAGCACUUUAAGCGAGGAGGAGGGUACUGGUAUUAAUACUACCAGGUACUGGACGUUACUCGCAGAAUAAGCACCGGCUAACUCUGUGCCAGCAGCCGCGGUAAUACAGAGGGUGCGAGCGUUAAUCGGAUUUACUGGGCGUAAAGCGUGCGUAGGCGGCUAAUUGAGUCGGAUGUGAAAUCCCCGAGCUUAACUUGGGAAUUGCAUUCGAUACUGGUUAGCUAGAGUGUGGGAGAGGAUGGUAGAAUUCCAGGUGUAGCGGAGAAAUGCGUAGAGAUCUGGAGGAAUACCGAUGGCGAAGGCAGCCAUCUGGCCUAACACUGACGCUGAGGUACGAAAGCGUGGGGAGCAAACAGG
This 430-nucleotide ribosomal RNA is filed under the name Pseudomonadota bacterium. RNAcentral's name for it is "Proteobacteria bacterium partial 16S ribosomal RNA". It matches the Rfam family "Bacterial small subunit ribosomal RNA", at positions 355 to 776 of the family's 1533-position model. The record is from RNAcentral. Lineage: Bacteria; Pseudomonadati; Pseudomonadota.